CACGUUUGACAUGUCUAGUUUGGUCGUCAGAGAUGACUUCCUUCAGUUCGGCUGGCUAGAACACAGGUGCUGCAUGGCUGUCGUCAGCUCGUGUCGUGAGAUGUUGGGUUAAGUCCCGCAACGAGCGCAACCCUCGCUACUAGUUGCUACCAGGUUAAGCUGAGCACUCUAGUGGAACUGCCGGUGGCAAGCCGGAGGAAGGUGGGGAUGACGUCAAGUCCUCAUGG
RNAcentral lists this ribosomal RNA (227 nucleotides) under uncultured bacterium. Its description in RNAcentral is "partial 16S ribosomal RNA". It matches the Rfam family "Bacterial small subunit ribosomal RNA", at positions 979 to 1198 of the family's 1533-position model. The record is from RNAcentral.